GAAUGUGAGGGCAAUCUGGCUGAAACAUUUGUCACUCCAUUGGUCGCCAGAGUUGAUUCGGCUGAUCUAGCUGGCUAGGCAGGUAUCCCCUUCUUCCCUCACCGCUCCAUGUGCAUCCCUCCUGAAGCUGCAAGCUCGGUCAAAGAGGACGGACUUCUCCAAUUGAGACGGGCCGGUCUUUGGUCAGGGGGUUUACGAAUAGCUGUGUUUCCCUGCUAGAACCUCCAAACAAGCUCUCAAGAAAGCCUUUUUUCUCUUCAGCUAUGAGCACCAGCCUGUUAGAGUCUGAGGAUGGUUAUAUGUCAACAUAGACACAUAAACGUCAAGAACACAUCUUGGCUCU
Unclassified non-coding RNA from Erinaceus europaeus (western European hedgehog), 343 nucleotides. Its record names the gene 7SK. It matches the Rfam family "7SK RNA". From Rfam's summary of the family: 7SK was discovered as an abundant small nuclear RNA in the mid-70s but a possible function has only recently been suggested. Two independent studies have found that 7SK RNA binds the CDK9/cyclin T complex (known as elongation factor P-TEFb). NCBI's taxonomy places the organism in Eukaryota, Metazoa, Chordata, Mammalia, Eulipotyphla, Erinaceidae. The record is from Ensembl.